UAGGGAAUCUUCCGCAAUGGGCGAAAGCCUGACGGAGCAACGCCGCGUGAGUGAUGAAGGUCUUCGGAUCGUAAAACUCUGUUAUUAGGGAAGAACAAAUGUGUAAGUAACUAUGCACGUCUUGACGGUACCUAAUCAGAAAGCCACGGCUAACUACGUGCCAGCAGCCGCGGUAAUACGUAGGUGGCAAGCGUUAUCCGGAAUUAUUGGGCGUAAAGCGCGCGUAGGCGGUUUUUUAAGUCUGAUGUGAAAGCCCACGGCUCAACCGUGGAGGGUCAUUGGAAACUGGAAAGCUUGAGUGCAGAAGAGGAAAGUGGAAUUCCAUGUGUAGCGGUGAAAUGCGCAGAGAUAUGGAGGAACGCCAGUGGCGAAGGCGACUUUCUGGUCUGUAACUGACGCUGAUGUGCGAAAGCGUGGGGAUCAAACAGG
Molecule: ribosomal RNA, 429 nt
Filed under: Acidobacteriota bacterium
Lineage: Bacteria; Pseudomonadati; Acidobacteriota
Description: Acidobacteria bacterium partial 16S ribosomal RNA
Rfam family: Bacterial small subunit ribosomal RNA
Source: RNAcentral